UACGGGGGGAGCAAGCGUUGUUCGGAUUUACUGGGCGUAAAGGGCGCGUAGGCGGCCAGCACAAGUCAGUUGUGAAAUCUCCGAGCUUAACUCAGAAAGGUCAACUGAUACUGUGCGGCUAGAGUGCGGAAGGGGCAACUGGAAUUCUUGGUGUAGCGGUGAAAUGCGUAGAUAUCAAGAGGAACACCUGCGGCGAAGGCGGGUUGCUGGGCCGACACUGACGCUGAGGCGCGAAAGCUAGGGGAGCGAACGGG
RNAcentral lists this ribosomal RNA (254 nucleotides) under uncultured bacterium. RNAcentral's name for it is "partial 16S ribosomal RNA". It matches the Rfam family "Bacterial small subunit ribosomal RNA", at positions 524 to 776 of the family's 1533-position model. The record is from RNAcentral.